RNAcentral lists this ribosomal RNA (292 nucleotides) under uncultured bacterium. RNAcentral describes it as "partial 16S ribosomal RNA". The record is from RNAcentral.
GGACUACCAGGGUAUCUAAUCCUGUUUGCUCCCCACGCUUUCGCUGCUCAGUGUCAGUUACCUUCCAGGUCGCCGCCUUCGCCUCUGGUGUUCCUCCCGAUAUCUACGAAUUUCACCUCUACACCGGGAAUUCCGCGACCCUCUCCGGCACUCAAGUCUCCCAGUUUCGCGCGCCCUUUCCAGGUUGAGCCUGGAGCUUUCACACGCGACUUAAAAGACCACCUACCAGCGCUUUACGCCCAAUAAUUCCGAACAACGCUCGCACCCUCUGUAUUACCGCGGCUGCUGGCAC